GAUGAACGCUGGCGGCGUGCCUAACACAUGCAAGUCGAACGGGAAUCUUCGGAUUCUAGUGGCGGACGGGUGAGUAACGCGUAAGAAUCUGACUUCAGGACGGUGACAACAGUUGGAAACGACUGCUAAUACCCGAUAUGCCGCAAGGUGAAAUCUAAUUGGCCUGGAGAAGAGCUUGCGUCUGAUUAGCUAGUUGGUGGGGUAAGAGCCUACCAAGGCGACGAUCAGUAGCUGGUCUGAGAGGAUGAGCAGCCACACUGGGACUGAGACACGGCCCAGACUCCUACGGGAGGCAGCAGUGGGGAAUUUUCCGCAAUGGGCGAAAGCCUGACGGAGCAACGCCGCGUGAGGGAGGAAGGUCUUUGGAUUGUAAACCUCUUUUCUCAAGGAAGAAGUUCUGACGGUACUUGAGGAAUCAGCCUCGGCUAACUCCGCGCCAGCAGCCGCGGUAAU
Molecule: ribosomal RNA, 453 nt
Filed under: uncultured cyanobacterium
Lineage: Bacteria; Bacillati; Cyanobacteriota
Description: bacterial SSU rRNA
Rfam family: Bacterial small subunit ribosomal RNA
Source: RNAcentral